UACGGAGUGUGCAAGCGUUACUCGGAAUCACUGGGCAUAAAGCGCGCGUAGGCGGCCUGCUAAGUCGAACGUGAAAUCCCUGGGCUCAACCCAGGAACUGCGUCCGAUACUGGUUGGCUUGAAUCCGGGAGAGGGAUGUGGAAUUCCAGGUGUAGCGGUGAAAUGCGUAGAUAUCUGGAGGAACACCGGUGGCGAAGGCGACAUCCUGGACCGGUAUUGACGCUGAGGCGCGAAAGCCAGGGGAGCAAACGGG
RNAcentral lists this ribosomal RNA (253 nucleotides) under uncultured bacterium. RNAcentral's name for it is "partial 16S ribosomal RNA". It matches the Rfam family "Bacterial small subunit ribosomal RNA", at positions 524 to 776 of the family's 1533-position model. The record is from RNAcentral.